This 253-nucleotide ribosomal RNA is filed under the name uncultured bacterium. RNAcentral describes it as "partial 16S ribosomal RNA". It matches the Rfam family "Bacterial small subunit ribosomal RNA", at positions 524 to 776 of the family's 1533-position model. The record is from RNAcentral.
UACGGAGGGGGUUAGCGUUGUUCGGAAUUACUGGGCGUAAAGCGCGCGUAGGCGGAUUGGAAAGUUGGGGGUGAAAUCCCGGGGCUCAACCUCGGAACUGCCUCCAAAACUCCCAGUCUUGAGUUCGAGAGAGGUGAGUGGAACUCCGAGUGUAGAGGUGAAAUUCGUAGAUAUUCGGAAGAACUCAAGUGGCGAAGGCGGCUCACUGGCUCGAUACUGACGCUGAGGUGCGAAAGUGUGGGGAGCAAACAGG